Molecule: ribosomal RNA, 339 nt
Filed under: Triticum aestivum (bread wheat)
Lineage: Eukaryota; Viridiplantae; Streptophyta; Magnoliopsida; Poales; Poaceae
Description: partial small subunit ribosomal RNA
Source: RNAcentral
UCAGCUUUGAGCCCUUAUCUUUUUGCAUUGAUGAUGGAUGAGGUCACAAGGGGUAUACAAGGAGAUAUCCCGUGGUGUAUGCUCUUUGCGGAUGAUGUGGUGCUAGUUGACGAUAGUCGGACGGGGGUAAAUAGGAAGUUAGAGUUAUGGAGACAAACCUUGGAAUCGAAAGGGUUUAGGCUUAGUAGAACUAAAACCGAGUACAUGAUGUGCGGUUUCAGUACUACUAGCUGUGAGGAGGAGGAGGUUAGCCUUGAUGGCCAGGUGGUACCUCGGAAGGACACCUUUCGGUAUUUGGGGUCAAUGUUGCAGGAGGAUGGGGGUAUGAUGAAGAUGUGA